RNAcentral lists this ribosomal RNA (506 nucleotides) under uncultured bacterium. RNAcentral's name for it is "bacterial SSU rRNA". It matches the Rfam family "Bacterial small subunit ribosomal RNA", at positions 28 to 520 of the family's 1533-position model. The record is from RNAcentral.
GAUGAACGCUAGCUACAGGCUUAACACAUGCAAGUCGAGGGGAAACGAUAGAGAAAGCUUGCUUUUUCUAGGCGUCGACCGGCGCACGGGUGAGUAACGCGUAUCCAACCUGCCCACCACUUGGGGAUAACCUUGCGAAAGUAAGACUAAUACCCAAUGACGUCUCUAGAAGACAUCUGAAAGAGAUUAAAGAUUUAUCGGUGAUGGAUGGGGAUGCGUCUGAUUAGCUUGUUGGCGGGGUAACGGCCCACCAAGGCGACGAUCAGUAGGGGUUCUGAGAGGAAGGUCCCCCACAUUGGAACUGAGACACGGUCCAAACUCCUACGGGAGGCAGCAGUGAGGAAUAUUGGUCAAUGGACGAGAGUCUGAACCAGCCAAGUAGCGUGCAGGAUGACGGCCCUAUGGGUUGUAAACUGCUUUUAUAAGGGAAUAAAGUGAGUCUCGUGAGACUUUUUGCAUGUACCUUAUGAAUAAGGACCGGCUAAUUCCGUGCCAGCAGCCGACGG